Styela clava is the source of this 361-nucleotide non-coding RNA. NCBI's taxonomy places the organism in Eukaryota, Metazoa, Chordata, Ascidiacea, Stolidobranchia, Styelidae. The record is from RefSeq and is a predicted model, not a curated record.
CGCGCUGAUAAUUGGAAGUCCGUAUUCGUAACCGGGAUCUCCGGAUUGUGCAACAGCAUUCGUUGAAGUCGAUGGAACAAAUGUUGUAGUGAAUUUCUGAGCCAGUACGAAAUUCGGUCCAGAUCCAGAAGCUGUAAUUGUAUAGCUGACUGAUGCCACCGAAUUUUGACAAGAAGAGCCAGCAGACGAAAAUAAUGGUGCAGCAUAGUUGCAAGUAGUCGGGUCUGAUAGUGUAAAAAUGAGUGUCAUCAGCGUGGAAAAUGUAAAAUAAACUUAAUGGAAAACUCAGUAAAAAUGGAUACAAAAAUCAAAAUCGUACAUAUUUAAAGUUUAUAACAUUAAAAGUGAUGCAUCCUAUGAA